UACGAAGGGGCUAGCGUUGUUCGGAAUUACUGGGCGUAAAGCGCGCGCAGGCGGUCUUCCAAGUCAGUGGUGAAAGCCCGGAGCUCAACUCCGGAACUGCCAUUGAAACUGUAAGACUUGAGGAUGAGAGAGGUGAGUGGAAUUCCCAGUGUAGAGGUGAAAUUCGUAGAUAUUGGGAAGAACACCGGUGGCGAAGGCGGCUCACUGGCUCAUUACUGACGCUCAGGCGCGACAGCGUGGGGAUCAAACAGG
Molecule: ribosomal RNA, 252 nt
Filed under: uncultured bacterium
Lineage: Bacteria
Description: partial 16S ribosomal RNA
Rfam family: Bacterial small subunit ribosomal RNA
Source: RNAcentral